GAUUUUUCCUAAGUACUUUAAUAUGGAGAUUAUACCAAGUUAAAGGGUGUGUGGCAUUGUGACUCACUGCAGCAGAGCUGUUACCUUCUGUGCUGGUCCCACUGUUGGCGUAUGCUGGGAAUGGGGGGAUUAACAUGGGUGGGGGAUUUGGGGAGGCAAAAGCAACUGAGCCCAGGAACCCAAACAGAGCUGCAGCCAGCCUAGCGCUGGGGAGGCUCAGACUGGGGCUGGUACAAGGGAAAUGCCUUUGUAUGGAGAAGAUGGAACCCUUCCGAGCUGCUUUGAGAGAUUCUCAUCUGGCUUCUGUUGGAGGCUGCCUCCCCCUAGCGAGUGCGAGCAGAACCCGCAGGCAGCUGCUGUGCCUUCAUCUCAGCGCUGCAAGAGCUGCAGGUGCUGUGCAUGCAUGCUAUGGAUGCAGCGCUGGGCAUGCAUCUUGGUGCUGUGCAUGUUAUGGGUGCAAGGCUGUGCAUGCACAUUAGGUGCUGGGCUGCAUGCACCUCAGGUGCUGUGCAUUGGCAACACGUGCUGUGCGUGCUAUGGAUGUGGUGCUGUGCAUGCUAUGGAUCUGGUGCUGUGCACGCAUCUUGGUGCUGUGCAUGCACCUCAGGUGCUGUGCUGCGUGCACCUCAGGUGCUGUGCAUGCAUCUUGAGUAUUCUGCUUGCACUUUGGGUGUUGUGCACCCCCUGGAUGUCUCCUCUUCCUCGUGCGCUGUGCACAUCGCAGCUGUUAGUUUAACCAGAGCCCCUGAGCUGAGCGUGCAGCAGCUGCUUGCAGUGCCUGGGGAGCAGUGGCAAUGCCAGGGACAGCGGUGCAGACCGUUCUUGACCCGGCAAGAGGUCUACAACUACACAGAGCCCAGCGUAGGCGUGGGGCUGAGCAGACAGAGCCCUUUGUUCCUUGGGCUGAUGAGCAGAUGGAGACCAGCUCUGACCUCAAGUUCAGGAUGCCCAGGGGUUUCACGAGCACCCAAGGACAAAGGCUGGCAAGCGAUGAAAGGGCUCCUGCUCUCGUUUACUGCACCCGUGUCCACAGAAUUACGUCGGUGAGGAUGGGGGCUGCUGUCAUCGGAUGAGAGCUGAGCUUUUAGGAAAAAGUCCCAGUUACAUCGAAGAUAGUGGCAAAACUCCCACAAACUUCCAGGAGCCAAGGCUGCCUCCCCAGAGCAUCGUUUUUCUCCAAAGUGAUGAGCAGCCACAACUCAGCCUGACAUGAACGGGAGCUGAGAGUCCCUGGCAGCUUCAGAAACCCAAUAAACCAGCACCUAAAGCAGAGGUGCUUCA
This 1281-nucleotide long non-coding RNA is filed under the name Numida meleagris (helmeted guineafowl). Its description in RNAcentral is "lncRNA (ENSNMEG00000018809.1)". Lineage: Eukaryota; Metazoa; Chordata; Aves; Galliformes; Numididae. The record is from RNAcentral.